This 57-nucleotide transfer RNA is filed under the name Conticribra weissflogii. Its description in RNAcentral is "partial tRNA". It matches the Rfam family "tRNA", at positions 12 to 68 of the family's 71-position model. Rfam says of the family: Transfer RNA (tRNA) molecules are approximately 80 nucleotides in length. Their secondary structure includes four short double-helical elements and three loops (D, anti-codon, and T loops). Further hydrogen bonds mediate the characteristic L-shaped molecular structure. tRNAs have two regions of fundamental functional importance: the anti-codon, which is responsible for specific mRNA codon recognition, and the 3' end, to which the tRNAs corresponding amino acid is attached (by aminoacyl-tRNA synthetases). tRNAs cope with the degeneracy of the genetic code in two manners: having more than one tRNA (with a specific anti-codon) for a particular amino acid; and 'wobble' base-pairing, i.e. permitting non-standard base-pairing at the 3rd anti-codon position. Lineage: Eukaryota; Bacillariophyta; Thalassiosirophyceae; Thalassiosirales; Thalassiosiraceae. The record is from RNAcentral.
UUAGGUUAGAGUGUUAGGUUGUGGUCCUAAAUGCCAUGGGUUCAAAUCCCAUUAUUC